This 207-nucleotide ribosomal RNA is filed under the name uncultured bacterium. RNAcentral's name for it is "partial 16S ribosomal RNA". It matches the Rfam family "Bacterial small subunit ribosomal RNA", at positions 568 to 774 of the family's 1533-position model. The record is from RNAcentral.
UCCGUAGGCGGUCAGAUAAGUCAGUGGUGAAAGCCCAUCGCUCAACGGUGGAACGGCCAUUGAUACUGUCUGACUUGAAUUAUUAGGAAGUAACUAGAAUAUGUAGUGUAGCGGUGAAAUGCUUAGAGAUUACAUGGAAUACCAAUUGCGAAGGCAGGUUACUACUAAUAUAUUGACGCUGAUGGACGAAAGCGUGGGUAGCGAACA